This 53-nucleotide transfer RNA is filed under the name Lachnaea uniflora. RNAcentral's name for it is "partial transfer RNA-Leu (UAA)". The record is from RNAcentral. Lineage: Eukaryota; Viridiplantae; Streptophyta; Magnoliopsida; Malvales; Thymelaeaceae. RNAcentral also lists the same sequence under 1 other name.
AAAAUCCGUCGACUUUUAAAAUCGUGAGGGUUCAAGUCCCUCUAUCCCCAAAA